Molecule: unclassified non-coding RNA, 340 nt
Filed under: Hevea brasiliensis (rubber tree)
Lineage: Eukaryota; Viridiplantae; Streptophyta; Magnoliopsida; Malpighiales; Euphorbiaceae
Source: RNAcentral
GGAUGCAUACAUCUACAUUGCACAAAAAAUUUCAGGUUGCUGGGGGAAACCUAAUGAGGUUCACUUGUAUAGGCGAUCACGAUUGGGAAAGUUUUCUCUAUUUCCCGCUGGAUGCAUGAGUUAUAAAUUGCUCUAAUGUAUUUUUGUUCUUCAAAUUCAGAAGCCAUUCUUUCUAAUACUAUUGGGAGAGCUCUGAAGACGUGGUUCGGGCCUUGGGGGUACUGCAUCAGCACUUUUGUCCCUUGUCAAUAUUACUGUAGAAUUUUGUUACCUCUUCGCACUGCGAUGAAUGUUUUUGUAAUCUAUAGCAUACUAUUACCAUAUAGUUACAAUUUUGGUU